GGAUCAGAGUUUUGAUGUUUUAGUUGGGUUCGUACGGUUAUUUUGAACUUCGACAAUAUUUUCGGAAUUUAAUUCAGGGAUCCCAAAACUGGAACUAAUAGUACAGACUUGAAAUACCAAAACAAAAGUGAAAUCUUCCCGGUGGUUAUUUGCAAUUAUCGAACUAAUUCUUUUCUACAGAAACAACUAAAGAAACUACAUGCUAGUAUUAAACUCUUAAACAGUCAAAACCAAAAAGCUAAACCUCCUAUUACAGUCUAAGAAUUGCGAUAUCAAAGAUUAUAAGCAAAAUGUGAACACU
RNAcentral lists this long non-coding RNA (301 nucleotides) under Nicotiana benthamiana. Its description in RNAcentral is "long non-coding RNA (NBEN_LNC005134)". The record is from RNAcentral. Lineage: Eukaryota; Viridiplantae; Streptophyta; Magnoliopsida; Solanales; Solanaceae.